This 1446-nucleotide long non-coding RNA is filed under the name Homo sapiens (human). RNAcentral describes it as "long non-coding RNA NONHSAT065802.2". The record is from RNAcentral. Lineage: Eukaryota; Metazoa; Chordata; Mammalia; Primates; Hominidae.
UGCUCAGCCCCCGGGGCACAGCAGGACGUUUGGGGGCCUUCUUUCAGCAGGGGACAGCCCGAUUGGGGUGAGCGUCCCCCACUCCUUCCCUCCAGGCCUCACCCCUGGUCUGGCUGGGCCGCCUAUUUUGGGAGCAGGAGUGGCCAGCCCGAGGCUUCCCAGGCAGGCCAACCCAAGAGGGAGGGAGUGUGGUUGAGGCAGUGGGUUCUGCAGGGUGGGAUGUGGGUGACUCCUCCCUGCCCUGCUGGUGCGUGUGCACCCUGGCAGGGUGUGGAGUUGGGACACACACGUGUGUAGGGCUGGUUGCGUCACUGCGUGGGGGCACCGGAGGCCCAGAGGAGGAGUAUUGGAUGCCUGACGGUGUUUACACCCCACGUCCUGCUCCAACCAGCAGUUUGGGGAGAGGUUGUUGUUCAUGUCCAUUCCGGCCCCACUGUGUGUGUGUGUGUGUGUGUGUGUGUGUGUGUGUGUGUGUAUCCCUGCCCCAGCAUGUGUUUUCUAUCUCUAAGGCCCACUGGGCUGGGCCUCAUGUCACUUGCCUGACAUCCGAUUGUGAAAGAUGUCACCCAGAGGCGGGCAGAGGGGCUGUCUUUUCCUUUUCUCGUUGCUGCCCAGGGAGGAGACGGGGUGACCUUUCCCACAGGGGCAGCCUGUGGCGAUGUGGCAGCUGGGCCUCACCCCGGCAGGGCUGUGCGUGACCCCCUGAGUGGGGGAAGGCAGGCUGUUGCCAUGGUGGCCUGAGCGAGCAGAAUUCCUCCAGGGUGAAGUGGGAGAUAUUUAUACCCGGGGUCAGGCCGCGAGCGGGCGGGCGGAGAGGGCAGGGAGCUGGGAUUUCGCGGGGCACAGUGAGGCCGGGCAUGUAGGCAGGUGGGACUUGGGCGUGCCCUGCUGUCUCCUGCUCUGUGUUUGUGUGAGGCAGCGCCUCCUCUGCCCUGCCAGGGUAGGUCUGGGAAUCGGGGGCCUGCUGCGGGAGGUGGAGGCCCAAGGGAGGCCCCCCGGGGACUGUGUGUCUCACCCCCGUCCCUGCUACGUUGUGUUGUUGUGUGAUCCCAUCGUGGAGGUUGUUUUGGUGACACUGUGUCCCCACGAAGCUGGGGAUACCCGUUUCUCUAGCUUGGAGCCACCAAGAUAGAGGACAAACACUUCUGUGAUUCAGUCCCCAGACUGUCUCUGACUUAAUCCCUUGGGUUCAAGCCCUAUGUGGGAGAGCAAGGGCACACACUGCCUAAUCCGUGGUGUCCCCCCCAGGACAAUGGCGUCUCUUGGCCACAUCUUGGUUUUCUGUGUGGGUCUCCUCACCAUGGCCAAGGCAGGACUCCCCUGGCACCUGACAUCUCCCACGCUCCACCUGCGCGCCCACCGCCCCCUCCGCCGCCCCUUCCCCAGCCCUGCCCCCGCAGACUCCCCCUGCCGCCAAGACUUCCAAUAAAACGUGCGUUCCUCUCG